RNAcentral lists this ribosomal RNA (253 nucleotides) under uncultured bacterium. RNAcentral describes it as "partial 16S ribosomal RNA". It matches the Rfam family "Bacterial small subunit ribosomal RNA", at positions 524 to 776 of the family's 1533-position model. The record is from RNAcentral.
UACGUAGGGGGCAAGCGUUGUCCGGAAUCAUUGGGCGUAAAGAGCGUGUAGGCGGCCCGAUAAGUCCGCUGUGAAAGUCCAGGGCUCAACCCUGGAAUGCCGGUGGAUACUGUCGGGCUCGAAUCCGGAAGAGGUGAGUGGAAUUCCUGGUGUAGCGGUGAAAUGCGCAGAUAUCAGGAGGAACACCAAUGGCGAAGGCAGCUCACUGGGACGGUAUUGACGCUGGGACGCGAAAGCGUGGGGAGCAAACAGG